UCCAGGUUGGAAAAUGAGAGAAAGUGCCUGGGGUCAAUGUGCAUGGGCCUCGCUAGGACUUGGAGGAGGAAAAGCACAAUCAGGACCUAAUGAGCCUGGGCCUCCUGCCAAGGCUGGCCAGGCUACAAGAACAGGAUUGGGCUUCUCCUCAGGGAAUAUGAGCAUAUAAGUCACCAGCUGACAGGGCCCUGUUCCCUGACUCAGCACACAGAAUAUAGGGACCACCAGGGGAGCGUCCAUGGGGUUUAUAUAGCAACAACAAAUAAACAGCACCAGCACUUUAGAGUUUACAAAUAACUUUCAUCUUCUUUUGUUUUCAUUUUUAUUCCAUGGACUCUUCACAUUUCCAACCAUGGGUAAACUCUUAAGAGAAAUAAUGCCUGAAAUACUGUUUAAUUUCCAAGUUGCAAGGGAAAGAUUCAGUAAGGUGUUCUACAUAUAAUCACGUGAGACCUGGGUUCUGAGGAAGUAAGUGGUCAGCACACACUGGGGACUUGCUGCACUGGUGGGCUCACUCAAUAGGCUCAGUUUCGUUCUAUACCCUUGCGGCUAUUCAGAGAGCUAGAAUGUUCCACCACGUAUAGAGAAGAGCAUGUGCAGGCUAGUCCUACUCGAAGUAUGGCAAAAACCUGCCAGAUGGGACUGGGCAAACCUUGCUGUCUACAAGCCUUCCUUCCUCUCUCAGGUGGACACGUGACAUUUCCAGAAGAAAAGAACACUGUUCAUCCAUUUUCCAAUCUAGUAAGGCUGACAUUCCCAAAUAGCUCAAGUAAACCCACAUUUGGCCUCAAAGCCCUGGAGAUGGAGACAUGAAGGGUGGGGACUGAAGUGUCCUUACCCAACAACACACCAUGAAACAGAGAUCUCCCCAGCCCUUCAUUUUUGUCCUUUGGCCUUUGAAGAGUAAAAUACCUGUUGAGUAAGCCAUAUCCAUUUUAUGUUCUUUGAACCCCCUCCCUGAAUGGGUUCCAAGAUGCAAUUUGCCAUUGCUGACCUGCACCCUUCUUAAUUAGAAACGAUCAUAUCAUUGUAUUUUCAGAAUUGUACUGUAACAUCAGAACAAUGAAAACAAUUACAGAACCUGAGAUAUGGAAGCAACUUUUGAGAUCGUUGAGCUCAAUCUCCUCAUUUUCUAGAUUGAAAAUGAGUGCAGUCCAGUGAGGUGAAGAGGUUUACUGAAGUCACAGGCUAUGCAGAAAAAGCUGGGACUAUGAUCUAGAUAUCUUGAUUCCAAGAGUCCUAACAGACAAAUUUGUUUCUUUUUUUAUACAAAAUCCAAACUAUUUAGCAUUCCCAGAGCAUUCCAAAUGGGUGAACAAUAGCAGAGAACUCAGUGUGAUCCAAAGCAAGGAUCUUCAAGAGUAUUUUUGGCUUUUAAUCUGUUAGCCAUAAGGAAUAUUGAAUUUAGCAAAGUACAUCGAAGUUUUCUAGGCAGCAUGUUAAGAACAGCUGAAACCAAUUAAAUGCUAAUCUGUCUGAUGCAGAGUGGAAAAAAUGUUCCAGAGGUCUCUCCACCCUGAGAUGUUCUUGGCAAUGAGUUUCUGUGCUGUGGGCCCCCUCCCAUCUCUCUUAGUCAUAUACGCUCAGGAAGAGAAGACCCGGCCAACUCCCUUUAAAUCUAAGAAGAGAACAGAACCAGCCCAAACUUUCCUCUUGAAAUAAAAGUGCAUCCUAGGAAGAGAAGGUUGUAGACUCUGGGACAACGUACAGCUCAGUUGUGAGAAUACAAGAGACUGAAAAAUGCAGUGAAGUCCAGCCACAUCAGUCAGUCCUCUGUGGUCACUUCAUAGACUGAUUAAGCAUCUCUGUUUCCUUAUCUCCUAACACUACUUUCCCCAGAAUCCCACCUUCUUCCAUGAGAGAUAGGUAGCAAAGCAGAUUUUCAAAUCCAACAAACUGAAUUUGGGCUUUGCAAUUAUUAGAUGUGGUCUUAGGCAAGCUAUUUAACUUCUCUAAACCUCAAUUUACUUACUUGUUAAAAGGGAGUAAUAAUACCAACCUUUAAAAAUUAAAUGA
Long non-coding RNA from Herpailurus yagouaroundi (jaguarundi), 2016 nucleotides. RefSeq lists it as uncharacterized. The transcript is spliced from 3 exons. Lineage: Eukaryota; Metazoa; Chordata; Mammalia; Carnivora; Felidae. The record is from RefSeq and is a predicted model, not a curated record.